CCUACGGGUGGCAGCAGUGGGGGAUAUUGCACAAUGGGGGCAACCCUGAUGCAGCGACGCCGCGUGAGUGAAGACGGUUUUCGGAUUGUAAACCACUGUCUUUGGGGACGAAUUGAGACGGUACACAAGGAGGAAGCUCCGGCAAACUACGUGCCAGCAGCCGCGGCAAUAGGUAGGGAGGAAGCGUUGUUCGGAUGUACUGGGUGUAAAGGGAGCGUAGGCGGGUUGGAAAGUUGAUGGUUAAAACUAUGGGCUAAACUGGUAGAUGCGAUCAACACUGGAAGUCUUGAGUGAAGUAGAGGGAGGCAGAAUUCCUGGUGUAGCGGUGAAAUGCGUAGAUAUUAGGAGGAACACCAGUGGCGAAGGCGGCCUGCUGGGC
RNAcentral lists this ribosomal RNA (379 nucleotides) under uncultured bacterium. RNAcentral's name for it is "partial 16S ribosomal RNA". It matches the Rfam family "Bacterial small subunit ribosomal RNA", at positions 338 to 734 of the family's 1533-position model. The record is from RNAcentral.